AUAUAAAUAGUAUAAUAAUAAUAGAAUAUCUAUAAUAUUUAUAAAAAUUUUUAUAAAAAUCAAAUUUAUAUA
RNAcentral lists this transfer RNA (72 nucleotides) under Vitis flexuosa. RNAcentral describes it as "tRNA-Ile". The record is from RNAcentral. Lineage: Eukaryota; Viridiplantae; Streptophyta; Magnoliopsida; Vitales; Vitaceae.